RNAcentral lists this ribosomal RNA (120 nucleotides) under uncultured bacterium. RNAcentral describes it as "partial 16S ribosomal RNA". It matches the Rfam family "Bacterial small subunit ribosomal RNA", at positions 28 to 158 of the family's 1533-position model. The record is from RNAcentral.
GACGAACGCUGGCGGCGUGCUUAACACAUGCAAGUCAAGGGGGCCCGCAAGGGCAACCGGCGAACGGGUGCGUAACACGUGAGCAACCUGCCUAGGUGUGGGGGAUAGCCGGCCCAACGG